GAUGAACGCUGGCGGCGUGCCUAAUACAUGCAAGUCGAGCGAACAGACGAGGCGCUUGCUCCUCUGACGUUAGCGGCGGACGGGUGAGUAACACGUGUAUAACCUACCUAUAAGACUGGGAUAACUUCGGGAAACCGGAGCUAAUACCGGAUAAUAUAUUGAACCGCAUGGUUCAAUAGUGAAAGACGGUUUUGCUGUCACUUAUAGAUGGAUCCGCGCCGCAUUAGCUAGUUGGUAAGGUAACGGCUUACGAAGGCGACGAUGCGUAGCCGAACUGAGAGGGUGAUCGGCCACACUGGAACUGAGACACGGUCCAGACUCCUACGGGAGGCAGCAGUAGGGAAUCUUCCGCAAUGGGCGAAAGCCUGACGGAGCAACGCCGAGUGAGUGAUGAAGGUCUUCGGAUCGUAAAACUCUGUUAUUAGGGAAGAACAAAUGUGUAAGUAACUAUGCACGGCUUGACGGUACCUAAUCAGAAAGCCACGGCUAACUACGUG
Molecule: ribosomal RNA, 497 nt
Filed under: uncultured bacterium
Lineage: Bacteria
Description: partial 16S ribosomal RNA
Rfam family: Bacterial small subunit ribosomal RNA
Source: RNAcentral